GACGUAGGGAGCGAGCGUUGUCCGGAUUCAUUGGGCGUAAAGCGCGCGUAGGCGGUUUGGUAAGUCGGAUGUGAAAUCCCGAGGCUCAACCUCGUGACUGCAUCCGAUACUGCCCGACUAGAGGUAGGUAGGGGAGAUCGGAAUUCCUGGUGUAGCGGUGAAAUGCGCAGAUAUCAGGAGGAACACCGGUGGCGAAGGCGGCAUCCUGGACCGGCAUUGACGCUGAGGCGCGAAAGCCAGGGGAGCAAACGGG
RNAcentral lists this ribosomal RNA (253 nucleotides) under uncultured bacterium. RNAcentral's name for it is "partial 16S ribosomal RNA". It matches the Rfam family "Bacterial small subunit ribosomal RNA", at positions 524 to 776 of the family's 1533-position model. The record is from RNAcentral.